Molecule: ribosomal RNA, 349 nt
Filed under: Pterocarpus rotundifolius subsp. rotundifolius
Lineage: Eukaryota; Viridiplantae; Streptophyta; Magnoliopsida; Fabales; Fabaceae
Description: eukaryotic LSU rRNA
Rfam family: 5.8S ribosomal RNA (bases 1-109)
Source: RNAcentral
AGCGAAAUGCGAUACUUGGUGUGAAUUGCAGAAUCCCGUGACCAUCGAGUCUUUGAACGCAAGUUGCGCCCGAAGCCAUCAGGCCGAGGGCACGCCUGCCUGGGUGUCACCAAUCGUCGCCCCARCAACCCCGCUGCCUCCCGGCACCGGGCGGGGCGGAUGCUGGCCUCCCGCGAGCGAGCGCCUCGCGGUUGGUYGAAAGCCGGGUUCGUGGCGGAGCGCAUCGCCAUGACGGAWGGUGGUUGAGCGCGUUCUCGAGGCCAGUCAUGCGCGUCCCGCUGCGCCGGYUACGGACCCCGCGACCCGUGGGCGGCACCGAUCGCYCGUGAUGCGACCUCAGGUCAGGCGG